GAUUGUUCCGUGUACUUGGGGUGUCGUCGCACCCAGACGUUACUUGAAAAAGUAGAGUGUCCAAGCCAGGCCCUUGACCGAUACAUUAGCAUGGAUAUUAAAAUAGGACGCGCGUACCCAUUUUGUUGGUUUCUGAGAUCGCCGUAAUGAUUAAUAGGGAUAGUGGGGGCAUUGUAUUCCCGUCGUCAGAGGUGAAAUUCCUUGGAUUGCCCGGAAAGACAAACUACUGCGAAAGCAUUUGUCAAAGGAUGUUUUCAUUGAUCAAGAACGAAGGAAGGGGGAUCGAAAACGAUUAGAUACCGUUGUAGUCUCUUCUGUAAACUAUGCCAAUUGGGGAUCGGUACAGGAUUUUUAAUGACUGUAUCGGCACCCGAAGAGAAAUCUUUAAAUGAGGUUCGGGGGGGGAGUAUGGUCGCAAGGCUGAAACUUAAAGGAAUUGACGGAAGGGCACCACCAGGUGUGGAGCCUGCGGCUUAAUUUGACUCAACACGGGGAAACUCACCAGGUCCAGACACAAUAAGGAUUGACAGAUUGAUAGCUCUUUCUUGAUCUUGUGGUUGGUGGUGCAUGGCCGUUCUUAGUUGGUGGAGUGAUUUGUCUGGUUAAUUCCGAUAACGAACGAGACCUUAACCUGCUAAAUAGACCAGCCGGCUUUGGCUAGCUGCUGUCUUCUUAGAGGGACUAUCAGCGUUUAGCUGAUGGAAGUUUGAGGCAAUAACAGGUCUGUGAUGCCCUUAGAUGUUCUGGGCCGCACGCGCGCUACACUGACAGAGCCAGCGAGUCUACCACCUUUGCCGGAAGGCAUGGGUAAUCUUGUGAAACUCUGUCGUGAUGGGGAUAGAACAUUGCAAUUAUUGUUCUUCAACGAGGAAUACCUAGUAAGCGUGAUUCAUCAGAUCGCGUUGAUUACGUCCCUGCCCUUUGUACACACCGCCCGUCGCUACUACCGAUUGAAUGGCUUAGUGAGGCCUCCGGAUUGGCUAUUGGGAGCUCGCGAGAGCACCCGACUGCCGAGAAGUUGUACGAACUUGGUCAUUCAAAGACAGGAAACCAUUCCGGGAGACC
This 1065-nucleotide ribosomal RNA is filed under the name Rhodotorula mucilaginosa. RNAcentral's name for it is "SSU rRNA". It matches the Rfam family "Eukaryotic small subunit ribosomal RNA", at positions 713 to 1804 of the family's 1831-position model. The record is from RNAcentral. Lineage: Eukaryota; Fungi; Basidiomycota; Microbotryomycetes; Sporidiobolales; Sporidiobolaceae.